Molecule: small RNA, 28 nt
Filed under: Bombyx mori (domestic silkworm)
Lineage: Eukaryota; Metazoa; Arthropoda; Insecta; Lepidoptera; Bombycidae
Description: ovarian small RNA-10608
Source: RNAcentral
AAGCUGACUUAGGGCCACCGCAGAUGGU